Mya arenaria is the source of this 2045-nucleotide long non-coding RNA. RefSeq lists it as uncharacterized. The record is from RefSeq and is a predicted model, not a curated record. The transcript has 6 exons. NCBI's taxonomy places the organism in Eukaryota, Metazoa, Mollusca, Bivalvia, Myida, Myidae.
AGUGUUUUUUAACCACUUUCUUUCGUAUUGUUUAUUACUUUUGGUGUUAUCUCCCGUAGUUGUCAUGAGCUAUUUUUUAACCCAAAUUUGAGGAUGUAGGUCAAGCUGAACCAAAGGCAUUUACAUCAAAUUAGGAAUUUGUUGGUCAAGCACCUGCUGUACAUAGAACAACAAUCCAUUACAGCUUUGAUUAUGCCGAGCAGGUCUUCUACCCAUACUAGGCACAGCAAGAGUGCCCUGCUUUGAAGUGUUCUGUAAAUCAUAUGGUUCACAGAUAUCUCAGUGAUAAGGGUUUAGCUGUUAGUGGCCAUUGGUGCGGUACCUUAUUUCCAACAUCAUCAUAUAGAGAAGACUCUGCAUACCUGCACAUUGACAACUGUGUUGGGUGGAAUAAAAACAAUGCAGUCAUUGGGGUCUGAUGUAUUCUGAAGGGAGAGAAACAGCAUUUACUUAAAUGGAAGCAGGUGACAUAAAGUUCAGUCCUGUGUGAGAUUUGGUCUGUGGAAGACCAAAUGGAGGCAGCACACAUCCUUUGUGGAUUGAUGACCUUGGCAAACUGGUUAUAUUCUUUGACUGGUUGGAGUACACCAAGUGACCCCUGAAGUCCAUUCCAAACUUGAGGAAAUAUCAUCACUUCAGAACUUCAGCUGACAACCCAGUGAGUGAAUUCAUGAGAGAGCAUGCCCAGGACAGUGAGAUUGAAGUUAAAAUUGACAAGCCCACAACAAUGGCUUUUCCAUGGAGAGUACCCUGAACGCAUCCAACUAAAAGGACGUAAUGCAAAAAGGCUCUGAUCCCUUAAAUAAGUGAAAAAAACAAUAAACUGAUAUGUAAUCUUUAUAAACUAAAUAUAAGAUUUGAGAAUGAGCCUGUUACUGAGCUGAUGAAAACGUGCAUCAAUUUUUUAUUGACAAUUAUUUAUUCAAUAGAAACAUGUUCAUGUGAAAUGAAGCUACCAGUGAUUUUGAGUGAAAAACUGUGGUUUUAGCAAAUGAGUGAUAGAAGGGUGCUACACCCUGUCUUUUGUUGGUAGAGCCCCUCUGCCAUAUAAUGGAGACCACUAUAUGAUUAUUAUUAAUACAAACUUAAAACAAUCUGGCAGUUGAAGCCUAUAAAUGCUUGAAUUGAAGACAUUUAUCAUAUUGUUUGUCAAUAUUAGUUACUUCACAGCCUGAUAAAAUGUACCUUAGCAACCUUUCAGUUUUUCUUCAAUAUCUUUAUUUUUAAAACCUUCCUGAAACAUUUUCAGCUUUAACUUUUACCUAUGAAUAAACACCGAAAAUAUAAUUUGUCAUGUACUAUGUGACCAAUUGCAUACCUCUUGAGACUACAUAAUGACGUGUACAUGCUAAGUAGUUAGUAUGUUAAAUAAAUUGCUUUCAUUUUUGUAAAAUGUUAAUGUUAUGUUUAUUAAAUUAAAAGUAUACAUACCACCAUUUCAUGUUUUAUGAGCAAUGAAUGACUAUACAAAAAAUCACAUUUGAGGUAAAUUGGUAAAGUUGGUGUGAUUAUAAUCAUGUUUGUGGCAUGUUGCCAUGGUAACCAGGAUAAAAAACAAACCCUUAAAUACCAUUCGAAUGAGAUAAAUUAUAGUAAAUUACAGGGGUAACAUACUUUAACUUUUAGAUAUAUACAUUGGUUUGUAUUAGGUGCAAGUUCCAACCUAAUGUCAAUUUAUUGUGAAAAUUUGCCAAUAAACUACUGUACUUGACAGUUUUUUUUUAUUCUGAUUUUUUUUUGAAUGUCAAAUACAUACACCAUGUACAGUAAGGUUUGAGGAUAUCAAUUAACAAAUCAAUUAUUAUUGAAUGCUUCAUAUGGCAUUUAUUGUAUAUUUAAAUGCAAAUUUAACCCCAAAAUGCCUUUUUCAAUAAUGGUUGCCAUGGUUACCAAUUAAUUUUCAUUUAUUUUCUCAAUAAUAAUUGAGAAUGGUUUUGAAAAUAUAUUGUUGUCGUUAUAAUGUGGGAAUUGUGUAUAUUGUAGUUGUGAAUAUUUAUUGCAUCUGUGAAUACAAAUGUUUCAAUAAAUUCUUGAACUUUACCGAA